AUUGAACGCUGGCGGCAUGCCUUACACAUGCAAGUCGAACGGCAGCAUGAUCUAGCUUGCUAGAUUGAUGGCGAGUGGCGAACGGGUGAGUAAUACAUCGGAACGUGCCCUGUAGUGGGGGAUAACUAGUCGAAAGAUUAGCUAAUAUCGCAUACGACCUGAGGGUGAAAGUGGGGGACCGCAAGGCCUCAUGCUAUAGGAGCGGCCGAUGUCUGAUUAGCUAGUUGGUGAGGUAAAGGCUCACCAAGGCGACGAUCAGUAGCUGGUCUGAGAGGACGAUCAGCCACACUGGGACUGAGACACGGCCCAGACUCCUACGGGAGGCAGCAGUGGGGAAUUUUGGACAAAGGGCGAAAGCCUGAUCCAGCAAUGCCGCGUGUGUGAAGAAGGCCUUCGGGUUGUAAAGCACUUUUGUCCGGAAAGAAAUGGCUCUGGUUAAUACCUGGGGUCGAUGACGGUACCGGAAGAAUAAGGACCGGCUAACUACGUG
This 490-nucleotide ribosomal RNA is filed under the name uncultured bacterium. RNAcentral describes it as "partial 16S ribosomal RNA". It matches the Rfam family "Bacterial small subunit ribosomal RNA", at positions 30 to 507 of the family's 1533-position model. The record is from RNAcentral.